CCUACGGGAGGCAGCAGUGGGGAAUUUUGGACAAUGGGCGCAAGCCUGAUCCAGCCAUGCCGCGUGCGGGAAGAAGGCCUUCGGGUUGUAAACCGCUUUUGUCAGGGAAGAAACGCGCCGAGCUAAUACCUCGGCGUAAUGACGGUACCUGAAGAAUAAGCACCGGCUAACUACGUGCCAGCAGCCGCGGUAAUACGUAGGGUGCAAGCGUUAAUCGGAAUUACUGGGCGUAAAGCGUGCGCAGGCGGCUUUGCAAGACAGAUGUGAAAUCCCCGGGCUCAACCUGGGAACUGCAUUUGUGACUGCAUGGCUAGAGUGCGGCAGAGGGGGAUGGAAUUCCGCGUGUAGCAGUGAAAUGCGUAGAUAUGCGGAGGAACACCGAUGGCGAAGGCAAUCCCCUGGGCCUGCACUGACGCUCAUGCACGAAAGCGUGGGGAGCAAACAGGAUUAGAUACCCUGGUAGUCCACGCCCUAAACGAUGUCAACUGGUUGUUGGACGGCUUGCUGUUCAGUAACGAAGCUAACGCGUGAAGUUGACCGCCUGGGGAGGUACGGCCGCGAGUAGAACGUACGAAGAAGUAGACGGACGUUGAGAGNGCGACGGACGACGACGAGGGAGGAGG
This 623-nucleotide ribosomal RNA is filed under the name uncultured bacterium. Its description in RNAcentral is "bacterial SSU rRNA". The stretch from base 1 to 542 matches the Rfam family "Bacterial small subunit ribosomal RNA", at positions 338 to 873 of the family's 1533-position model. The record is from RNAcentral.